This 435-nucleotide ribosomal RNA is filed under the name Cisurgus wollastoni. RNAcentral's name for it is "partial 16S ribosomal RNA". The record is from RNAcentral. Lineage: Eukaryota; Metazoa; Arthropoda; Insecta; Coleoptera; Curculionidae.
UCGCAAUCUUCUUUAUCGAUUUGAACUCUCAAAAAAAAUUACGCUGUUAUCCCUAAGGUAGCUUAUUCUUAUAAUCCAAAAAUGGGAUCAAAAAUUCAUAAAUUUAUGAAAAAAUUUAAAGAAAAGUUUAUUUAAUUUUCCCGUCACCCCAACUCAAWWUUUUUUAAAAAAUAAAAUUUAUAUUCUAAUAAUUUACUAAAAAAAAAAUAUAAAGCUCUAUAGGGUCUUCUCGUCCCCAAUAUUUAUUUAAGCUUUUUCACUUAAAAAUAAAAUUCUAAUAAAUUYACCUUGAGACAGUAGGUUCUUCAUCAAUCCUUUCAUUCCAGCUUCUAAUUAAGAAACUAAUUACUAUGCUACCUUUGCACGGUCAAAAUACCGCGGCCAUUAAAUUUUCAUCAUUGGGCAGGACCGACUUUAAAUUAUAAUCAAAAAGAC